This 301-nucleotide ribosomal RNA is filed under the name uncultured bacterium. RNAcentral describes it as "partial 16S ribosomal RNA". It matches the Rfam family "Bacterial small subunit ribosomal RNA", at positions 509 to 807 of the family's 1533-position model. The record is from RNAcentral.
CAGUAGCCACGGUAAUACAGAGGGUGCGAGCGUUUAUCGGAUUUACUGGGCGUAAAGCGUGCGUAGGCGGCUAAUUGAGUCGGAUGUGAAAUCCCCGAGCUUAACUUGGGAAUUGCAUUCGAUACUGGUUAGCUAGAGUGUGGGAGAGGAUGGUAGAAUUCCAGGUGUAGCGGUGAAAUGCGUAGAGAUCUGGAGGAAUACCGAUGGCGAAGGCAGCCAUCUGGCCUAAUACUGACGCUGAGGUACGAAAGCAUGGGGAGCAAACAGGAUUAGAUACCCGCGUAGUCCCUGUCUCUUAUAC